GGACUACACGGGUAUCUAAUCCUGUUUGCUCCCCACGCUUUCGCGUCUCAGCGUCAGUCACUGUCCAGAAGGCCGCCUUCGCCACCGGUGUUCCGCUUGAUAUCUACGAAUUUCACCUCUACACCAAGCAUUCCACCUUCCUCUCCAGGACUCUAGCUACGCAGUUUCGAGUGCACUUCCACGGUUGAGCCGUGGGAUUUCACGCCCGACUUACAUAGCCGCCUACACGCGCUUUACGCCCAGUAAUUCCGAACAACGUUUGCACCCUCUGUCUUACCGCGGCUGCUGGCAC
Molecule: ribosomal RNA, 292 nt
Filed under: uncultured bacterium
Lineage: Bacteria
Description: partial 16S ribosomal RNA
Source: RNAcentral